Molecule: ribosomal RNA, 404 nt
Filed under: Actinomycetes bacterium
Lineage: Bacteria; Bacillati; Actinomycetota; Actinomycetes
Description: Actinobacteria bacterium partial 16S ribosomal RNA
Rfam family: Bacterial small subunit ribosomal RNA
Source: RNAcentral
UGGGGAAUAUUGGACAAUGGGCGCAAGCCUGAUCCAGCCAUGCCGCGUGAGUGAUGAAGGCCCUAGGGUUGUAAAGCUCUUUCACCGGUGAAGAUAAUGACGGUAACCGGAGAAGAAGCCCCGGCUAACUUCGUGCCAGCAGCCGCGGUAGUACGAAGGGGGCUAGCGUUGUUCGGAUUUACUGGGCGUAAAGCGCACGUAGGCGGACUAUUAAGUCAGGGGUGAAAUCCCGGGGCUCAACCCCGGAACUGCCUUUGAUACUGGUAGUCUUGAGUUCGAGAGAAGUGGGUGGAAUACCGAGUGUAGAGGUGAAAUUCGUAGAUAUUCGGAGGAACACCAGUGGCGAAGGCGGCUCACUGGCUCGAUACUGACGCUGAGGUGCGAAAGCGUGGGGAGCAAACAGG